This is a long non-coding RNA of Pleuronectes platessa (European plaice), 354 nucleotides long. RefSeq lists it as uncharacterized. Lineage: Eukaryota; Metazoa; Chordata; Actinopteri; Pleuronectiformes; Pleuronectidae. The transcript is spliced from 2 exons. The record is from RefSeq and is a predicted model, not a curated record.
GCUUGUUGUGUCAGACCCCAAUUCAUUUCAAGAGCACAUACAAAGCACUCUACACUCCAAACCUGCAGAGGGCGACCACACAAGAGAUGGUGGUGGAACCCAAGCCCAACAGGAACUCUUAAAGGGGACCAUAUUUGCCUGCGCACCCACUGGGAAGGCAUGGCACAAAAUGUUUGGAUGCAGUCAACUAGUCUUAGCACUUGCUCCUGGGAAGAAGGAAUGACCACAGCUCCUGAUCAAUCUGAAAGACGCAACUGGUUAUCAACCUAUUCAUUCUAUUCGAUUCCUUGAUUUACUUAUGUCCACUGAAAGAAUCAAACAUCAAGAAAAUAAAAAGUGGAAGAAUAAGAAGAA